This 75-nucleotide transfer RNA is filed under the name Candidatus Alistipes equi. RNAcentral's name for it is "tRNA-Pro". It matches the Rfam family "tRNA". From Rfam's summary of the family: Transfer RNA (tRNA) molecules are approximately 80 nucleotides in length. Their secondary structure includes four short double-helical elements and three loops (D, anti-codon, and T loops). Further hydrogen bonds mediate the characteristic L-shaped molecular structure. tRNAs have two regions of fundamental functional importance: the anti-codon, which is responsible for specific mRNA codon recognition, and the 3' end, to which the tRNAs corresponding amino acid is attached (by aminoacyl-tRNA synthetases). tRNAs cope with the degeneracy of the genetic code in two manners: having more than one tRNA (with a specific anti-codon) for a particular amino acid; and 'wobble' base-pairing, i.e. permitting non-standard base-pairing at the 3rd anti-codon position. The record is from RNAcentral. Lineage: Bacteria; Pseudomonadati; Bacteroidota; Bacteroidia; Bacteroidales; Rikenellaceae.
CGGGAUGUAGCGUAGUCCGGUUAUCGCGCCACCUUCGGGAGGUGGAGGUCGCUCGUUCGAAUCGAGUCAUCCCGA